GCCAACCGUGGCCUACUGGUUAGCGCUUCGGACUUGUAACCGGAGGGUUGCCGGUUCGAACCCCGACCAGUAGGCA
RNAcentral lists this transfer RNA (76 nucleotides) under Alosa alosa (allis shad). RNAcentral's name for it is "tRNA-OTHER". Lineage: Eukaryota; Metazoa; Chordata; Actinopteri; Clupeiformes; Clupeidae. The record is from RNAcentral.